Molecule: ribosomal RNA, 374 nt
Filed under: uncultured organism
Description: bacterial SSU rRNA
Rfam family: Bacterial small subunit ribosomal RNA
Source: RNAcentral
CGGGGGGAGCUAAGCGUUGUUCGGAUUUACUGGGCGUAAAGGGCGCGUAGGCGGCGCAACAAGUCACUUGUGAAAUCUCCGGGCUUAACCCGGAGCGGCCAAGUGAUACUGUCGUGCUAGAGUGCGGAAGGGGCUACUGGAAUUCUCGGUGUAGCGGUGAAAUGCGUAGAUAUCGAGAGGAACACCUGCGGCGAAGGCGGGUAGCUGGGCCGACACUGACGCUGAUGCGCGAAAGCCAGGGGAGCGAACGGGAUUAGAUACCCCGGUAGUCCUGGCCUUAAACGAUGGAUACUUGGUGUCCGGGGUUACAUAGUCCCCGGGUGCCGGCGCUAACGCUUUAAGCAUUCCGCCUGGGGAGUACGGUCGCAAGACUG